UAUGCUGAGGGGGAAGAAACGGGUCUAGUACAGCUAUAACACAAGUGGUCAUGAAAACUAUUUUCAAACGGACGACCUUUCUUUUGUCCUAAAACCCUCGUCGCUCCGCUAAUACACAUAAUAUGUGCUAUAUUUUCAGAUGACGUUUAAUUGGUUAUGGAGAGAUUAAUGAGGACGGUUUCGUUUGGGGAAAAUCAUGGCCCGAGAUCCCGAGAAAGGAAACUAUUGAGUUGACAUAAACGGCCUAACUCACCACACCUUUGAUCACACCUGCAAUUGGAGAUUCAUUUGAUUAUGUUUGUGAAUGUUUCCCGGUUCGAGAGCGUUGCUAAAAUAACGAUAAGUUCGAAAUAAAAUAUUUGUAUGCAAAAGGCGACAUAUCAGUUCUAAAAUGGGAUUGGCCGUGUUCUUUGGGUGUUCAUUUAUAACUUUCGGACCGGCUUUUGCAUUGCUUAUGUUUACUGUGACAGACAGUCCUGUUCGAGUGAUUAUAUUGGUGGUAGGGGCCAGUUUAUGGCUGGUCGGUCUCGUGCUGUCCUCUUUGAUGUGGUAUGCCCUAGUAUCCCUCUGCGGUGGCUCAGAUCCAAACCUGCAGCUGCAGCUUCUAGCAGCGGUGGCGGCAGUGGCUGUGUUUAUUCAGGAGGCGCUCAGGGCCGCUUCCUACAAGCUACUAAGAUUUUUUUCUCACGAGACAACACAUGCAGCUCUUGCCAGUUUUGUUGUGAAAGGAGGACCUACCCUUUCUCUGCAACAAAAGGCCUUCGUCAGUGGUCUGGCCUUUGGCCUAAUGAGCUCAGCCUUUUCCUUUGCCAACAUCCUGUCAGUGUCGCUGGGGCCGGGCAUUGUGGGAAUUCACGGGGAAUCGUCUCACUUCUUCAUUACCUCUGUUUUCUCCAAUAUGUCCCUGCCUCUUGUCCCUUUCCCUCUCUCUCCUCUCUGUUGUCCUGCCUUGCCUUCCCCCUCUCCACUGUCUGUCCUCAGCUUUUCAGGCCAUGAUGCAGUCCGGCCUGCAGGUCUGCUGGUCAGUGCUGCUCUUCUCUGCCUGUGAGAGGCGGAGCUGGGCCAGGGGUGUUGCCGUGGUGCUGUCACACCUGCUGAGCUGUGGACUGUCUUUUCUGAACCCUCGCUAUUGUCUAAGCCUGCUGCUGCAGAGUGUCCUGCUGGUUGCCGUGGUGAUGUGGUCUUGGGUGGAGGCUGGAGGGCGUGGGUGUCCAUGUUUGCUGCGCAUUGGAGGCCGGCCUUUAACGAAGGUGGAAGCGGUACAGUAUUCUGCCCUAAGGAGUCCUGUGGAACACUGAUGCAGUACCCAUCCCUGCCUGAACCACAAUUGGGGCAGCACUGAGACACAAUUCUGUGAUUGCGGUGCAUUUGUCUUACUCUCAUAUAAAUUUGUUUGCACUUGCAAGGUCAA
This is an RNA transcript of Anguilla rostrata (American eel), 1411 nucleotides long. It is a transcript of the gene named gamma-secretase subunit APH-1A-like, with no coding region annotated. The transcript has 7 exons. The record is from RefSeq and is a predicted model, not a curated record. NCBI's taxonomy places the organism in Eukaryota, Metazoa, Chordata, Actinopteri, Anguilliformes, Anguillidae.